UUGGGUUAAGUCCCGUAACGAGCGCAACCCUUGUCCUAGUUACCAGCACGUAUGGUGGGCACUCUAAGGAGACUGCCGGUGACAAACCGGAGGAAGGUGGGGAUGACGUCAAGUCAUCAUGGCCCUUACGGCCUGGGCUACACACGUGCUACAAUGGUCGGUACAAAGGGUUGCCAAGCCGCGAGGUGGAGCUAAUCCCAUAAAACCGAUCGUAGUCCGGAUCGCAGUCUGCAACUCGACUGCGUGAAGUCGGAAUCGCUAGUAAUCGUGAAUCAGAAUGUCACGGUGAAUACGUUCCCGGGCCUU
RNAcentral lists this ribosomal RNA (306 nucleotides) under uncultured Pseudomonadaceae bacterium. RNAcentral's name for it is "bacterial SSU rRNA". It matches the Rfam family "Bacterial small subunit ribosomal RNA", at positions 1075 to 1382 of the family's 1533-position model. The record is from RNAcentral. Lineage: Bacteria; Pseudomonadati; Pseudomonadota; Gammaproteobacteria; Pseudomonadales; Pseudomonadaceae.